Spea bombifrons (plains spadefoot toad) is the source of this 72-nucleotide small nucleolar RNA. RefSeq annotates it as small nucleolar RNA SNORD99. Lineage: Eukaryota; Metazoa; Chordata; Amphibia; Anura; Pelobatidae. The record is from RefSeq and is a predicted model, not a curated record. The transcript has a single exon.
ACUGUGCAAUGAUGAGUCUUAUUGUCUGGAGACUGUUGGAUGAAUCUUGCGGAUAUGGGACUGAGCACAGUU